Non-coding RNA from Pimephales promelas (fathead minnow), 625 nucleotides. The record is from RefSeq and is a predicted model, not a curated record. NCBI's taxonomy places the organism in Eukaryota, Metazoa, Chordata, Actinopteri, Cypriniformes, Leuciscidae.
GUGUGUGUGUAUUUAUUAUCUGCUGUGAAUGAAACUCUGCAAGUCCUCAACUUUCAAGCCAUUAUUUUCACCAUUUUAGCACAUUUCAAACCAAACUGUGCAUCCAAGGUUCUCCAGUUCUCAGGUGUGGUGGAUUUUCAACCAUGUGCUGUUGGGUAAGAGCUCAGGAGCAGUCAGCAUUUGAAGUGCUCUACAGAACAUGUUUGAUACACUCACAAACUCUGGCCUCACGUUAAGCACUUACACGCCACGAGCGAUACGACCUGACGGAAACAACCCAUGAAAUCUCAGAGUCUCCUCACCGGGGGAACACGGCCGACAAUAGACCCUAAUUAAAGCGUGCUGUGGGCUGACAGAGCCCAUUCUUCUCCACUGCGUCCCGUUUAAACUGGGCCUCCCUUCCUGUGCCAUCCACACCCACCUCACUCCACUAAUUUCAAGUGGAACCGUGAAGGCUUAAUGGAAGGCCUCGGAUGACAGGAAGUCAACGCGACCUGAGUGGUUGUCAGAUUCCAUUGGAGGCCCUUGGCAGUCUGAAACCCGCAGGAACUGGAUCCCGGACCAAAAUCCAUCCCUGGCUUUGUGUUUCUGUCAGUGAGGAGAUGUGUAAGGGCGGAUCAGUUUC